AACGAACGCUGGCGGCAGGCCUAACACAUGCAAGUCGAGCGGGGACUUCGGUCCUAGCGGCGGACGGGUGAGUAACGCGUGGGAACGUGCCCUUUGCUUCGGAAUAGCCCCUGGAAACGGGGAGUAAUACCGGAUGUGCCCUUUGGGGGAAAGAUUUAUCGGCAAAGGAUCGGCCCGCGUUGGAUUAGGUAGUUGGUGGGGUAAUGGCCUACCAAGCCGACGAUCUGUAGCUGGUCUGAGAGGACGACCAGCCACACUGGGACUGAGACACGGCCCAGACUCCUACGGGAGGCAGCAGUGGGGAAUUUUGGACAAUGGGCGCAAGCCUGAUCCAGCAAUGCCGCGUGCAGGAUGAAGGCC
This 360-nucleotide ribosomal RNA is filed under the name uncultured bacterium. RNAcentral describes it as "bacterial SSU rRNA". It matches the Rfam family "Bacterial small subunit ribosomal RNA", at positions 29 to 416 of the family's 1533-position model. The record is from RNAcentral.